UAUUCAUUAGUGUAAGAUGCACGUCAAGUUUUGAGUUUGAAGGUUGAAGUUUGAUUCUUCAUUGUAUAG
Molecule: transfer RNA, 69 nt
Filed under: Neuroctenus yunnanensis
Lineage: Eukaryota; Metazoa; Arthropoda; Insecta; Hemiptera; Aradidae
Description: tRNA-Gln
Rfam family: tRNA
About the family: Transfer RNA (tRNA) molecules are approximately 80 nucleotides in length. Their secondary structure includes four short double-helical elements and three loops (D, anti-codon, and T loops).
Source: RNAcentral